This 1073-nucleotide long non-coding RNA is filed under the name Lathyrus oleraceus (garden pea). RNAcentral's name for it is "Pisum sativum (pea) long non-coding RNA (PSAT_LNC021047)". The record is from RNAcentral. Lineage: Eukaryota; Viridiplantae; Streptophyta; Magnoliopsida; Fabales; Fabaceae.
AAUAAUACUACAUGUUACAUUGAGAAUUUAAAUCAAGUUAUAUUGAGAAUUAAAUUUAGAAGUUUUCAAUGGACCUUUACACAACCUCCCACGGGUCACUCUCCACUCUUCAUAAAAUUCCCACAAAACCAACAACAAACUUUUACAAACAUCUUAAUUUAUAACUUGCAAAUUCAUCACACACUCCUCACUCUCAAGGAUCCCACGAAGUCAACAAUACUUCACACGAGUAACAAAGUUACAAUCCCACCUCUGAGUAAAGAGAAUCUGUAACCCUGCAAUACUCUGACAUAAACCAUUCACUAAAACCCAUCUCUUAUAAGCCAUUAGAGAUUCACAUUGAAGCUCUAAUAAGGUUGAGCUCAACCUUCAUCCCUUUCCAUCACGACAACAUACACAUAAUAUAAUAGAGUUGAGAAAGAGAAGGAGUUAGAGGGAGAAACGAGGAAAGGAAACAUAAAAAAAAGAAGAUAAAGGUACCUAAGGUCUCUUAGUUCGUCGAAAAAUUGUAAAGGUUUGCCGGAAGCUCUUGCCGAAAUCUUGAAAAUCCAGAUUCCUCAAGAUUUCAGCGAGCAUAUUUCUUCUCUUUUCCUUGCUUUUUUUGUUGAUUCAUGAUCGUUGUAUGUUGUUGAUGUUUCCCCCCAUAAUUAUCAUGCUUAAUUCUUGGUGUAUGUGCUUUAAUUUUUGGAUCUAGGGUUUGUAGUAAUCACGAGGCUUGGUCCAAUUCGGUAUGUUUCUAUUUUAAUUGUUGUUUUUUAUCCCAGGUUCGAGUUUAGAAUCUCAUUUUAGGUAGGUUUCAUGUUCACUAUUUGGUAAUCUGGGUAGGUUUGGUUGAUUUCUGGAAAAGGGGACAAAGAACAUUCAUGUGUGUUCUUUGUUUGUUCUUGUUUUGUUUGGCGUUUGAUCCAUUUUGGUGGUGUGAUUUUUUAGUUUGCGUGUUUAAGAGAGGAGAGAGGCAGAGAGAAGAAAAGAUGAAGAAAGAGUAAUCUUUUUCUAAAUGAAGAGAGUCAGCUUGACUCUUAACUUAAAUACCCUCUCCCUCACUCUCUCAUUAUCGGUCACGUUAGUCUCAG